Molecule: ribosomal RNA, 223 nt
Filed under: uncultured bacterium
Lineage: Bacteria
Description: partial 16S ribosomal RNA
Rfam family: Bacterial small subunit ribosomal RNA
Source: RNAcentral
UACGUCCUACGGGAGAAAGCAGGGGACCUUCGGGCCUUGCGCUAUCAGAUGAGCCUAGGUCGGAUUAGCUAGUUGGUGAGGUAAUGGCUCACCAAGGCUGCGAUCCGUAACUGGUCUGAGAGGAUGAUCAGUCACACUGGGACUGAGACACGGCCCAGACUCCUACGGGAGGCAGCAGUGGGGAAUAUUGGGCAAUGGGCGCAAGCCUGACCCAGCAACGCCG